GCCCUCAUCCUCACGGUGCUCCAUCUCGUCCUACCCACCGCCACGAGCUCACCGUACCCGACGGGAUUGAUCUCCUCGUCCUUGCCGCCACGAGCUCACCGUACCUGACUCAAUUGAUCUGCUCGUCCCCGCCGCCACGAGCUCGCCGUCGGCAUCGCCAUACUCGUUAUCCUCGUCGUCACCGAAGUGUUUGGUCUGUUGGUUACAGCAAUGGACAAGAGGUGGAUGAGAACACCUAGAUCCGCAGAUGAGUACCGGGAAGGAGUUAAAAAGUUCGUAGAAUUUGCUUUUGCCAAAUCAGCAGAACACAAUAGGAUCCUUUGCCCAUGUAGGUUUUGCAGAAAUGCAUAUUGGUUUGAGAAACAAGAAAUAUUGGAUCAUUUGGUUUCUGAUGGGUUCAUGGCUGGCUAUACAUCAUGGAUUCAUCAUGGGGAGGGCCUAUGGUCAUCCGAUCCAGUUGUUGCCUCAAGCUCGCGAUGUGAAGAUGACAAUGCUAGCAGUGAUAAAAAUAGAUCAGAUGCUCUUGGAGGCAUUUGGGAUGUAUGACACUCGUGCUCUGGGGAGGAUGAGGAAUUGAAGGAUGAGUUAGAUAUUGAUGCUGAAACUUACUACAAGCUAGUCAAUGAUGCCAGUAAAGAGCUAUAUCCGGGCUGCAAGUUCUCAAAUCUUCAGUUUCUUGUGAGGCUCCUUAACAUAAAGAAUAUUGGGGGGGGGUCAGCGAUAAUUGUUUUGAUGAACUUCUUUCAUUAAUUAAGGAUGCCCUUCCAAAUGGUGUAGCCUUGCCUAAGAAUUUCCAUGAUGCUAAGAAAUUUGUGAAGGCCAUUGGUGUUUCUUAUGAGUGCAUCGACGCUUGCCCAAAUGAUUGCAUACUGUUUAAGAAACAAUAUGCAGAUGCUACAAUAUGUCCUGUGUGUCAUGCGAGUAGGUGGAAGAGUGAGAAAGUUGGGCUUGAUGGAAGACGAGUCCAUAGGGUCCCUCAAAAGGUGGUUCGGCACUUCCCGUUGAAGAGGAGGCUUCAAAGGCUAUUCAUGUCUUCAAGGACAUCACCACUCAUGAGGUGGCACGAGGAAGGCCGUACUAAAGAUGGUUUGCUGCGGCAUCCUGCUGACUCACCUGCUUGGAAACAUUUUGACGCAAUGCACCGAGACUUCAAAUUAGAAAGUCGAAAUGUCAGGCUAGGUCUAGCAACAGAUGGUUUCAACCCCUUUGGAAGAAUGAAUGUCUCAUAUAGCAUAUGGCCUAUAUUCUUGAUCUCAUAUAAUCUUCCCUCGUGGAUUUGCAUGAAGCAGUCCAAUUUUAUUCUCUCUGUGCUCAUCCCAGGUAAGAGAUCACCGGGGAAAGACAUGAAUGUCUAUAUGCAACUAACUGUUGAUGAUCUGCUUGAGUGUUGGACAAAAGGUUUCAUAACUUAUGAUGUUUCACGCUCCGAGAAGUUUCUCUUACGUGCUGCACUUUUGUGGACAAUAAGUGAUUGGAUUGGACGGGGUUGCUUGUCUGGAGAAUGUCUAUCUGCAUGCUCUCAAUGUCUCCUAGACACAUGUUCACUUAGGCUGAAACACGGGCACAAGACUUGCUACAUGGGCCACCGGAGAUUCUUGGGUGCUGGUCACAAGUUUAGAUUUCAAGCUAGAUCCUUCGAUGGUACCCAAGAGCUUCGUGAACCUCCUGUUCCACUCUCAGGGCAUGAAAUAUCUGAAUUGACAAAAGACAUGAAACUGUAUAUGGUAAAACUCAGAAGAACAAGAAUUCUAACAAAAGGAAGCAUAGUGGGGAUGAAGAAGGAGAGGAGAGAGACAUCUCAUGUGUGUUUAGAAAAAAGGUGUUGCUUGUUUCAGUUGCCGUAUUGGGAGACAUUGCUUCUGCGCCAUAAUCUUGACUUUAUGCAUAUACAAAAAAAUGUCUUUGACAACACAGCCAAUACACUUCUUGGUGUCGAUAAGAAAUACAAGGAUAAUCUGAAUGCACGUCUUGACCUUAGGGAAAUAGGCAUACGACCAGAUCUUCACCCAUCUGAUAUUGGGAAUAAUAGGUCAUACAUACCUCCAGCACUAUACUCCAUGGAUUCUAAGGAGAAAAAGUUGUUCUGUGAGGUCUUGAAAGGAGCUAGGUUCCCUGAUGGCUAGGCGUCCAACUUGCAUAAUAAGGUGUGUGUAGAUGAGAAGAGAUUGAUAGGGCUGAAGACUCAUGAUUGCCAUAUUAUUAUGCAAGAUCUCUUACCCUUGGCUAUUAGGGGUGUUCUUCCAGAAAGGGUAUGUAUCCCACUUAUCAAGCUUAGCAAUUAUUUCAAAAAGUUAUGCUCCAAGGUUAUUUCUGUGAGUGAGAUGCAAAGAUUGGAAGUUGAAAUUCCUGAGACCAUAUGCCUUUUGGAGAAGGUUUCCCCCCCUACCUUCUUCGACCUCAUGGUUCACUUAUCUAUCCAUCUUGCAACGGAAGUGAUGCUUGCUGGACCAGUACACUAUUGGAAUAUGUAUCCUAUAGAGAGAUGCCUGUACACUUUGAAAAGUAUGGUUCGAACUCAAAGUCACCCAGAAGGAGCAAUAGCCGAAGGCUUGCUGUUUAAUGAAAGUCUGACAUUUUGCUCACAGAACUUGCAUGGUUGUGAAACCAAAUUGUCUCGAGUAGGCCGUCACAGUGAUAGCACUGCCUAUAAUGCCUCAUCUGAUCAGCUUACAUACUUGAGGAUUAUUGGACGUCCUUUGUCAGGUUCUUGUGCUAUGGAACUAGACAACAUAUCUUGGAUCCAGGCACAACGAUAUGUGCUGAUCAACUAUCCUAAAAUUAGUUCAUAUGCUGAAAUGCACCUCCUUAUCUUAUCUGCCAAUAAACACAUAAAGAAACGUGAUAUUGAAUGCAUCCAUCAUAGGGACUUCCACAAUUGGUUUCCAGAUUAUGUUCAAAAAUUAAUUGAUACAGGUAAGGAGGUUCCAAAAGAAAUUAAAAUUCUAGCACAAAAACCUUAUAGGAUGGUGAAGAAGUACAACAGCUAUUCCUUGAAUGGGUGUACUUUCCACACAAGGAGCUUUGCUGAAGGAAAAGUUACACAAUGUGAUGGCGUAGCAAUGAUUGCAAAGACUUCGAGUUUCUCAAGCACAAGAGAUGAUAAUCCAUCUAUAGGAGAUGUUGCAUAUUACGGCCGCAUAACGGAAAUAAUUGAACUAAAUUAUUUGAAUACUGGAUACGUGGUGUUAUUCAAGUGUGAUUGGGUUGAUAGUGUUCAGGGCAGGGGAUUUCGAGUGGACAAAUAUGGGAUAAAAGAAGUGAACCAUUUACUUAAUAGUGGAUCCAAUGCCUUUCAUGAGCCAUUUAUCCUAGCAACACAAGCUACCCAAGUUUAUUAUGUGCAAAAUCCUAUAGAGAAGGACUGGCAUGCUGUGGUUGAUUCUCCUCCAAGGGACUUCUUUGAUAUGGAGGCUACAAAAUUUCAUUUGCCUAUUGAAAAUGAUGUUGCUAUGCCUAGUCUUGACGGGGAGGAUACAAACUGGACUAGGAAUGAUAUAGAUGGAAUUAUAGUUGAUAAUCCUCCAAGGAAGGAUGAGCCGAAAAAGAACAAGAGGCAGCGGAGAAAGGUUUGAGGAUGACUAUGGGAGAUUGAGGGGACCUAGGAACUUUUCUCUGAUCAUGGAGUCACUAGGGAGUAAAGAUGCUGAGAUGAAGGGAAAUCUUCCUGCAACAGUUUUAAACAGUCAGGAUGCAAAGGAUGGGAAAAUAAAUGAAGAAAUUGAUGACUAUAGUGACUCUGAAGAUCAAUAUGACACUGAAAUGGACAAUGAUCUAUCAAGUUUGAACAAUAUUGAUGGCAUGGAAAAACCAGGCAAGUUCUUUUAAUUUAUAAUAAUUCUUUUAGAUAACAUUGAUGUACAUCUCUUUGAUUUUGCACAUGAAAAUCAGACCAAAUGUUGACUAUUCUAUAUUGUUUUUAUGAAGCUGAAAAAAAAAAGUAAAAGGGGUCCAACCAGAAUGGAAUCAUUAUGGAAAGAUAGUGAUGCAGACAAUAAAAUAAAUCUGAAGGUUAAUCGUUUUGGUCAGCCUUGUGGUCUGAAGACAUGUAAAUUAACAAGCUUCAUAGGCACUCUUGUUAAGGGAAAAGAGAUCUCAUUGGCAGCUAACAAUUGGAGUAGAGUACCAAAGUCCGAUAAAGAAAAGUUGUGGCUGACUAUUUAGGCUUUCUUUAAUGUUGAUGAAUCUUUCAAACCUUGGGUGUUGAAAUCUGCAAGCAAAAAAUGGAAAGAUUUUAAGGUUGUUUUGAAGAGGAAAUAUUUCAAUCCUAAAUUAACAAGAAAACAAAAUAUCUGUAAUGGUUGUGGCAAAAGGUUACCAGGUCCACAAUGGGAGUGGCUGGUAAGGCAUUGGAAGACAAGUGCAUCACAGGCUAAAUGUGAGAAAAAUAAAGCCACUCAUGCAAUUCAGCUCAAUGGGACUCACACUAGUGGAUCUAGAAGCUUUGCUGUCACACUUGAUCAAUUGGAGAUGGAAGAAGGUAGACAAGUUGAGCGUGCUGAACUGUACAUUGUUACACAUACAAAGAAAAAUGGCCAGCCAGUUGAUAAAUAUAGUGGUGAUAAUAUUAAUGAAAUCAGAAGACAGCUUGCUACAAAUCCUUCACUUGUAGGUGAGGAAGCUCGUGAUGGGGAUGUUUACUCAGGGCUCUUUCCUAAAGAAAGGAGCGGAAGGUGGCGAGGACUUGGUUUAUUAGUAGGUGGAUGAGCUUCAAUGGAACUUGCUGAAGUGAAGGCUGAACUGCAAGAAAGCAAAAAUGAAAAUUUGAGGCUCUAGAGUGUAAUCAAGACAUUAGAGAAGAAUCAGUCUUCAUUGGAGGACAAGCACAAACAAGCACAAUGAACUGAAAGCUAUGCUAUUAGCAUCUCAAGGUCAUGAAAAAGCAGGGAGCAAUCACAAAAUUGUACAAGAACCCAAGGAGGAUCUGGAGGAUAUGGUGGCUAUUAACAAUGAAGAAAAAGAAACUCCAACUUCAUCUAGAGCUAGCAAGAGAUCCAAAGUCAAAACUGAGCUUGUGGAAAAGGUGAUUGUGUCAACUCAACAAAUACCAAAGAAAGGCCAGCCAACCCAGCAAGAGGAGAAAGCUGCUCUUAGUCUUCAGCAGAACAGGGAGGACACUAUUGCAGAUAAAAAUCUGCAUAAGAAGCAAAGGAAAUUUCAAACCCCUCUUCCAAAGGGUGGAUUGACUGUUUUCAAGCGUGGUUUGGAGGUUGGUUUGAUUUCCCCACAGAGCACUAGUAUGGUGGCAUUUGCAACUAUUCAAGCAACUGAUAGCAAAUCUAAGGCAACAGAUGGUCAACCCCUUGGUGAUUGCGUUGAGGUCCUUAUCAACACUGUGUUUUCUAAAACCACCUUGCUACCCCGCUCACAUGGAAAUAUUAGCAAGCUUUCAAACGCAGUUGGAAGAUGCAUUCAAUGGCCACGAAAAAAUGUUGAGCCACUCAAUGAUGGUAGUGGUGAUGGGCCUACUCCAAAGGUAUCUGUCAAUGGAGCAAUCAAGGAAAAUUCUAGCAAGAGAAGGAAGGUGAAAAAUAGCAGCUCAAUCACCUCACCUGCAAUUUGCACAUAACAACUCUGGUGUUGACAGCAAGAUAAGUAAGAACAUCUUUGGUUGUACUACUCAUCAAUGUUAAGGCUCCGUUGAUUCAUCGCCUCUACCGUUGCUGUUAAUCUAUUAUGCAAAAACUUGUAAAUCUGCCACAGCUUAGAACAUGAGCAUGACAAAUGUGAAGAUUCUUUCAUGUCUAAAUAAAUUUGGUUGUACUCUGAGUUGUUGGACAUCCAAGAGUCUUGUUCAACUGUGGAGUUCAUUAUGCAAUUAAAGACUGAAAUAAUAUUUCUGUUAUGAGUAA
RNA transcript from Panicum virgatum (switchgrass), 5849 nucleotides. RefSeq lists it as uncharacterized. NCBI's taxonomy places the organism in Eukaryota, Viridiplantae, Streptophyta, Magnoliopsida, Poales, Poaceae. The record is from RefSeq and is a predicted model, not a curated record. The transcript has 18 exons.